This 330-nucleotide ribosomal RNA is filed under the name uncultured bacterium. RNAcentral's name for it is "bacterial SSU rRNA". It matches the Rfam family "Bacterial small subunit ribosomal RNA", at positions 568 to 898 of the family's 1533-position model. The record is from RNAcentral.
UGCGUAGGCGGUUUGCCAAGUUUGGUGUGAAAUCUCCCGGCUUAACUGGGAGGGUGCGCCGAAAACUGGCAGACUAGAGUGGGGGAGAGGAGAGUGGAAUUCCUGGUGUAGCGGUGAAAUGCGUAGAUAUCAGGAGGAACACCGGUGGUGUAGACGGCUCUCUGGACCCUAACUGACGCUGAGGCACGAAAGCGUGGGUAGCAAACAGGAUUAGAUACCCUGGUAGUCCACGCCCUAAACGAUGCACAUUUGGUGUGGGUCAUUCAGUUGAUCCGUGCCGGAGCUAACGCGUUAAAUGUGCCGCCUGGGGAGUACGGUCGCAAGGCUGAA